CUCAAAGGGAUAAUAUCGCAAUCUUUGGGCCGUUUGGAUAAACUGAAAUCGCUUGAUCUCUCUUGCAAUCAUCUUCAAGGUGGAUUGCCUAUGGAGUUCUCAAGCUUGAAGCAGCUGGAGGUUGUUGAUUUGAGCCAUAACAUGUUGUCAGGACGGGUUUCUGGGGUGCUUUCUGGUUUGUUGUCUAUGCAGUCACUGAAUAUUUCUAGCAAUCUGUUCAAAGAGGAUUUGUUUGAACUUGGGGGAUUUCCAAAUCUUCUUGUAUUCAAUGUGAGCAACAAUUCAUUUACUGGCCGAAUCCCUCCCCACAUUUGCAGCUCCUCUAGUGGGAUUCGGUUUCUUGAUUUGUCAAUGAACCAUCUUGUUGGCAAUCUUGAAGGCUUGGAUAAUUGCAGCACAUCUCUCCAGCAAUUGCAUUUGGAUUCCAAUUCACUUUCAGGCUCUCUUCCGGAUUCUUUGUACUCACUGUCAGCUCUGCAGCAAUUCUCAAUCUCCAACAACAACUUAUCUGGCCAGUUAAGCAAAGAAUUGAGUAAGCUUUCUAGCCUCAGAACCUUGGUUAUUUAUGGAAACCGGUUUUCAGGCUAUAUUCCAAACGUGUUUGGUAACCUUACCCAGCUAGAACAACUUGUUGCACAUUCAAAUAUGUUUUCCGGGCCAUUACCUUCAACACUGGCAUUAUGCACAGAGCUCUGCAUACUUGACCUGAGAAAUAAUUCUCUAACUGGUCCAAUCGAUCUUAAUUUCACNNNNNNNNNNUGGUACUCUUGAUCUUGCCAGUAAUCAUUUGUUUGGCCCCCUUCCAAAUUCCCUGUCUGAU
Molecule: unclassified non-coding RNA, 820 nt
Filed under: Hevea brasiliensis (rubber tree)
Lineage: Eukaryota; Viridiplantae; Streptophyta; Magnoliopsida; Malpighiales; Euphorbiaceae
Source: RNAcentral